Molecule: long non-coding RNA, 2180 nt
Organism: Dermacentor andersoni
Lineage: Eukaryota; Metazoa; Arthropoda; Arachnida; Ixodida; Ixodidae
Source: RefSeq, a predicted model, not a curated record
GGCUACACUGAAAGAACAACAAUCGUCGGUGAUCAUCGGAAAUCUGAUCAGCGCUUCAAGCGCGUCGGCUUUAAUACAUGAGUCAUCGAAGUUUCCAGAGUAAUCGCUCGUGCCCGCGCGUCUUCCAGAAAGUCCUGCACCUUUCACGUCGCGCAUACACGCAAUAACUUUACAUAAAGAUCGGUGACAACGGAAAGCGGAUAUAAACAUCGAUAACACUCGAGAAACUGUCGGUACAAGCAGGCGCGUCCUGCGCUGAACGAUAACAGCUCUUAGACGGUGAAACAUGGUCCCCUGAACAAGCACACGCGCCAAUCUCUAGCGUAAAAAAAACAUUGCACAUUUCAAUAAAAUUGGAAAGCGUACAGAGUAGGGAUACGUAAUUAAGCAUGAUAUUAGUAAAGGAACAUGAGUGAGGGUCGACUGUUUGCAUGCUCCUAAAUGGCAAAAGCAUAUUUUUUUCAGAGGCAAUUGACGACAAAGUUCCCGUUAUGCCUUUUAUGUCAGCUUGCUUGUUUAUUAAGUGUGGAUUGUGACUGCGCUUUAGUUGAACAGUCCUCUACCUGGGUAUUCAAAUCCCUGUCAUGUUCAUCAGAUAACAAAAACUUAACCACUUUACCAAGGAGGCUCUUUCCCCCUUUUCUUUCUCGUUCUUUAUAGGCCACCCGUGCAUUCGAAGCGAUAAUACACGUUGAUUUAAUGUCCACAAAUUACUCAUGCUCCUGUUUCUGCUAUUUCACAGAUAAGUCUUCUUUAUAAGAAAAUUCCAUGUUGUUCCAAUGUCGUUGAAAAUGAUUGACCUGAGAGAUUGUGUUUGUUUUUCACCACUUUACAGAUGGAGAAAGGCAGAAGCUGAACAACCUUUAUCAUGGAAGCCACCUCUACCAGCGUAGUGCAUCAAUGUGUCUACUUCGACAAAAUGGAGCACCAGUGCAUAUAUCUGGGCUUACCUGUCCAAGGCAGCAAGUGUGGCUACAUUGAAACCACUACGAGCAUGUGCGGCUGUUCUAUUUCCAGCGGGACUGCAGAAUAUUCAGUAGUGUGCUCUCAAGCUGUUCAUCGAUGAAGCUCUGCCUGGACCGUGGGGCAAAUAUUUUUGGACGUGAAAGUGGGAGUGAACUGGUAAACAUCAGUGGAACUGUGCCUGGACUCUGUGGCAAAUAUUUUUGGAUGUGAAAGUGUGGGCGAACUGGCUAAAAAUUGGCUCUGGACUACAUGUGUUAAGCCUUUUUUCUCAUUCAGAGUGCUUUUUUCUUUAUUUUACUUUAUUUUUUAUUUUAGGAGACUGGAGAUGUGCGCAAAGUGUGACAUGUCAGUGGGCUAAUUAAUGUGUUUGCUGGUUUGCAAAUUAUUCUUUGCAAUUUUGUUUUUGCCAGAGUGGUACAAAUGUGCAUCUUGUACGGGGCUUUUUAGAUAAACCAAUUACUACUUAUUAUGACCAUUGCUUCCUUUGUUACACAAAUGCAGCUUCCAGUGCAUUCCAGUCUAUUUCCAUGUUUAUGUAAGUUUCUAAUAUGAGGCUUCCGUAUUCAUUUCUCACGUUAUGGAGUGGCAAGAUGCAGCAUUAAUCAGUCUCAUCGUUCACCGUACUACAGUAGUGCUUACUUGUUACACUGACUCCCCCGUUUAAGUAUUUUGUACUAGAUUUUUCACUUUAUUGCUUUUUUGUUGUAUAGUUCUUUUUCUAGCCAUUACCUUCUGUGAUAUAUCCUAAAGGCAAUAUUUCCAAUUUUGCAUUGUUGCCAUUGUUUGAUUUCUGUCACAGGAUUGUUUUAUGAUGGUAUGCGGUGGUAUUUUUUAUUGUGCUCUUUUCAAGCUUCUAGAUGAUUGGUAACAUUGCUUGGAGGCAGUUACCAUCCGAUUCAAGCUCUUGCAUUUUUCAGUCUACUUCUUCCAUUCGCUCCGAUGUCACUGCUGGAUAACUCUAGUCCAUCUAAUAGCACGUGCUCUUUACUAUGAUAAAUGAGAAACCUUAGUACACUCCAUGUUUUUCUUUUAAUUUUUGUAUGUGUACUUGGAAAUUUGUUUAUGUACUAGUGAAUGCUCACUUUCGAGUUCAUUACAAAUCCUUUCUGCGAUUUUUGUCAUUGUUGAUGUAUUUUACUUCUAUUUGCAUUUCUCACACAUUUUGCUUGAACCUUGCAUAAGCAUUACAUUUUAAUAAAGUGUUUUUGCUCGGU